CGGGUGCACUGAUCCAGCCGGGCCUUUCCCUCUGUGGAACCCCAUGGCCUUCACUGGCUGUGGUGGGGAAACAGGACUUUUACUUUGAAAAAAUUAGAGUGCUCCAGGCAGGCCUAUGCUCGAAUACAUUAGCAUGGAAUAAUGGAAUAGGACGUGUGGUUCUAUUUUGUUGGUUUCUAGGACCGCCGUAAUGAUUAAUAGGGACAGUCGGGGGCAUCAGUAUUCAAUUGUCAGAGGUGAAAUUCUUGGAUCUAUUGAAGACUAACUACUGCGAAAGCAUUUGCCAAGGAUGUUUUCAUUGAUAAGGAACGAAAGUUAGGGGAUCGAAGACGAUCAGAUACCGUCGUAGUCUUAACUAUAAACUAUGCCGACUAGGGAUCGGACGAUGUUAUUCUUUGACGCGUUCGGCACCUUUCGAGAAAUCAAAGUGCUUGGGCUCCAGGGGGAGUAUGGUCGCAAGGCUGAAACUUAAAGAAAUUGACGGAAGGGCACCACCAGGGGUGGAACCUGCGGCUUAAUUUGACUCAACACGGGGAAACUCACCAGGUCCAGACACAGUGAGGAUUGACAGAUUGAGAGCUCUUUCUUGAUUCUGUGGGUGGUGGUGCAUGGCCGUUCUUAGUUGGUGGAGUGAUUUGUCUGCUUAAUUGCGAUAACGAACGAGACCUUAACCUGCUAAAUAGCCCGUACUGCUUUGGCAGUUCGCCGGCUUCUUAGAGGGACUAUCGG
Molecule: ribosomal RNA, 729 nt
Filed under: uncultured eukaryote
Lineage: Eukaryota
Description: SSU rRNA
Rfam family: Eukaryotic small subunit ribosomal RNA
Source: RNAcentral